This 449-nucleotide ribosomal RNA is filed under the name uncultured Lactobacillus sp. RNAcentral describes it as "bacterial SSU rRNA". It matches the Rfam family "Bacterial small subunit ribosomal RNA", at positions 9 to 421 of the family's 1533-position model. The record is from RNAcentral. Lineage: Bacteria; Bacillati; Bacillota; Bacilli; Lactobacillales; Lactobacillaceae.
GAGUUUGAUCAUGGCUCAGGACGAACGCUGGCGGCAUGCCUAAUACAUGCAAGUCGAACGAGGUUUCCGUUAAUGAUAGUUGGUGCUUGCAUCAACUUGACUUAAGAUCUAACCGAGUGGCGAACUGGUGAGUAACACGUGGGGAACCUGCCCUUAAGUAGGGGAUAACAUUUGGAAACAAAUGCUAAUACCGUAUAACAACAUAAACCACAUGGUUUAUGUUUGAAAGAUGGCUCUGCUAUCGCUUUUGGAUGGACCCGCGGCGUAUUAGCUAGUUGGUGAGAUAAUGGCUCACCAAGGCGAUGAUACGUAGCCGACCUGAGAGGGUAAUCGGCCACAUUGGAACUGAGACACGGUCCAGACUCCUACGGGAGGCAGCAGUAGGGAAUCUUUCACAAUGGACGAAAGUCUGAUGAAGCAAUGCGCCGUGAGUGAUGAAGGGUUUACGG